GGAGGUAGUGACAAUAAAUCACAAUGCGGAACUUUUGUUUUGCAAUUGGAUUGAGAACAACGCACAACACUUAUCGAUAAACAAUUGGAGGGCAAGUCUGGUGCCAGCAGCCGCGGUAAUUCCAGCUCCAAUAGCGUAUAUUAACGUUGUUGCAGUUAAAAAGCUCGUAGUUGAAGUGAAGUAAUGAAGUUGUGAUUUGAAAUUUUCAUUUCGCUUCUUAAUUACUCUUUCCAAAUUGUUUGCAUGGAUAUUCAUUUAUCUGUGUAUUGCAUUUGGUCAUUUACUGUGAGAAAAUUAGAGUGUUCAAAGCAUACGUUUGUUUGAAUACAUUAGCAUGGAAUAAUUCGAAAAGGCUUUCAUGUUCGAUUUGAUUGGUUUGUUCGUGAGAGCAAGAUUAAAAGGGACAGUUGGGGGUAUUCAUAUUCAAUAGUCAGAGGUGAAAUUCUCGGAUUUAUGGAAGAUGAACAAGUGCGAAAGCA
Molecule: ribosomal RNA, 479 nt
Filed under: Blastocystis sp.
Lineage: Eukaryota; Bigyra; Opalinata; Blastocystidae
Description: SSU rRNA
Rfam family: Eukaryotic small subunit ribosomal RNA
Source: RNAcentral